AUUGAACGCUGGCGGCAUGCCUUACACAUGCAAGUCGAACGGCAGCACGGGUGCUUGCACCUGGUGGCGAGUGGCGAACGGGUGUGUAAUACAUCGGAACAUGUCCUGUAGUGGGGGAUAGCCCGGCGAAAGCCGGAUUAAUACCGCAUACGAUCUACGGAUGAAAGCGGGGGACCUUCGGGCCUCGCGCUAUAGGGUUGGCCGAUGGCUGAUUAGCUAGUUGGUGGGGUAAAGGCCUACCAAGGCGACGAUCAGUAGCUGGUCUGAGAGGACGACCAGCCACACUGGGACUGAGACACGGCCCAGACUCCUACGGGAGGCAGCAGUGGGGAAUUUUGGACAAUGGGCGAAAGCCUGAUCCAGCAAUGCCGCGUGUGUGAAGAAGGCCUUCGGGUUGUAAAGCACUUUUGUCCGGAAAGAAAUCCUUGGCCCUAAUACGGUCGGGGGAUGACGGUACCGGAAGAAUAAGCACCGGCUAACUACGUG
This 486-nucleotide ribosomal RNA is filed under the name uncultured bacterium. RNAcentral describes it as "partial 16S ribosomal RNA". It matches the Rfam family "Bacterial small subunit ribosomal RNA", at positions 30 to 507 of the family's 1533-position model. The record is from RNAcentral.